UGGGGAAUAUUGCACAAUGGGCGCAAGCCUGAUGCAGCCAUGCCGCGUGUGUGAAGAAGGCCUUCGGGUUGUAAAGCACUUUCAGCGGGGAGGAAGGCGAUAAGGUUAAUAACCUUGUCGAUUGACGUUACCCGCAGAAGAAGCACCGGCUAACUCCGUGCCAGCAGCCGCGGUAAUACGUAGGGCGCGAGCGUUGUCCGGAAUUAUUGGGCGUAAAGGGCUUGUAGGCGGCUUGUUGCGCCUGCUGUGAAAACGCGGGGCUUAACUUCGCGCGUGCAGUGGGUACGGGCAGGCUUGAGUGUGGUAGGGGUGACUGGAAUUCCAGGUGUAGCGGUGGAAUGCGCAGAUAUCUGGAGGAACACCGAUGGCGAAGGCAGGUCACUGGGCCAUUACUGACGCUGAGGAGCGAAAGCAUGGGUAGCGAACAGG
RNAcentral lists this ribosomal RNA (429 nucleotides) under Chloroflexota bacterium. Its description in RNAcentral is "Chloroflexi bacterium partial 16S ribosomal RNA". It matches the Rfam family "Bacterial small subunit ribosomal RNA", at positions 355 to 776 of the family's 1533-position model. Lineage: Bacteria; Bacillati; Chloroflexota. The record is from RNAcentral.